RNAcentral lists this ribosomal RNA (1856 nucleotides) under Parafurgasonia sp. FG-2015. Its description in RNAcentral is "LSU rRNA". It matches the Rfam family "Eukaryotic large subunit ribosomal RNA", at positions 23 to 1865 of the family's 3401-position model. Lineage: Eukaryota; Ciliophora; Nassophorea; Nassulida; Furgasoniidae. The record is from RNAcentral.
ACCCGCUGAACUUAAGCAUAUCAGUAAGCGGAGGAAAAGAAAUUAACAAAGAUUGCCUUAGUAGCGGCGAGUGAACAGGCAAGAGCUCAAACCGAAAAUCUGGAGUGUAGUGCUUCAGAAUUGUAGUCUAAAGAUGCAGGCAGAAGGCAUGGAGUAUGCAUAAGUUCCUUGGAACAGGACGUCAUAGAGGGUGAUAACCCCGUGUUCGGCAAUACUCCAGUUGUAUGUCUGAGUCGUAGAGUCGGGUUGUUUGGGACUGCAGCCCUAAAUGGGAGAUAUACUUCUUCUAAGGCUAAAUAUUUAUGGGAAACCGAUAGCAAACAAGUACUGUGAAGGAAAGAUGAAAAGAACUUUGAAAAGAGAGUUAAAAGACUUGAAAUCGUUGAGAAGUAAGCGGUAGAAAAAUAUUUAUUGGGGUGGACGUAAGGACGGAGAGUAUUAGCCUGCGUGUCGUGGAGCACUUUAAAGGCUUGCGGUGCGUAUGGUCAUGGUGCUCUCGCCGUUGUCUGCUUCAAUGGGCAAGAUGAGAUCAGCGUUGUCGGAUACACUGGGCGAGCAGACCCCAGCAAUGGGAGCUCGUCCAGAAUGCGGCAUCCUUGUUCUGAGGGGCUACGGCGAUCUUGCCGAAAUGGUUUCUACCGACCCGUCUUGAAACACGGACCAAGGAGUCUAACACAUGCGCGAGUGUGCGGGUGUUCAAACCCAUACGCUAAAUGAAAGUGAGUACAAGAUGCGAAGGGCAACCUGCAGCAUCGACCGGCCACGAACUUCUGUGAGAGGUCUGAGUAAGAGCGUAUUUGUUAGGACCCGAAAGAUGGUGAACUAUACUUGAGUAGGGUGAAGUCAGGGGAAACUCUGAUGGAAGCUCGUAGCGAUACUGACGUGCAAAUCGUUCGUCAAACUUGAGUAUAGGGGCGAAAGACUAAUCGAACCAUCUAGUAGCUGGUUCCCUCUGAAGUUUCUCUCAGGAUAGCUGGAACAAAAUGCAGUUUUAUUAGGUAAAGCGAAUGAUUAGAGGCCUCGGAGGUGCAACACCUUCGACCUAUUCUCAAACUUUAAAUUGGUAAGCACCAUCAGUUUUCUUAACUGAACUGGUGGGAUGAAUGCGUUGUUCUUAGUGGGCCAUUUUUGGUAAGCAGAACUGGCGAUGAGGGAUGAACCUAACGUCGAGUUAAGGUGCCAAAAUCCUCGCUCAUCAGAUACCACAAAAGGUGUUGAUUCAUAUAGACAGCAGGACGGUGGCCAUGGAAGUUGGAAUCCGCUAAGGAGUGUGUAACAACUCACCUGCCGAAUGAAUUAGCCCUGAAAAUGGAUGGCGCUCAAGCGAGGUACCGAUACUCGACCAUUAGCGCAAAUUGUGAGGCGUUAAUGAGUAAGAGGGCGUGGGUGUUGUGCCGAAGCCGUUGACGUGAGUCUAGGUGGAACAACAUCUAGUGCAGAUCUUGGUGGUAGUAGCAAAUAUUCAAAUGAGAACUUUGAAGACCGAAGUGGAGAAGGGUUCCAUGAGAACUGCAUUUGGUCAUGGGUUACACGAUCCUAAGACAUAGGGAAACUCCUCUAGACACGUCGUGCUUGCACGCGAUGUCAAAAGGGAAUGAGGUUAAUAUUCCUCAUGCUGGAUGUGGAUACUAUAUGGCAACAUAAGUGAGCUCAGAAACGUCGGCACGUACCCCUGGAAGAGUUCUCUUUUCUUUUUAACAGGUUCAAGCCUUGAAAUUGGAUUAUCCAGAGCUAAGGCCGGAUACCUGGCAGAGCAUCUCACUAUAUGAGGUGUCAGGUGCGUUCGUGACGACCCUUGAAAAUCUGAGUGAGAGAUUUAUUUGCACACCAGAUCGUACCAAUAACCGCAUCAGGUU